RNAcentral lists this long non-coding RNA (288 nucleotides) under Gallus gallus (chicken). The record is from RNAcentral. Lineage: Eukaryota; Metazoa; Chordata; Aves; Galliformes; Phasianidae.
CGGAAAGAACCUCCACAAAGACAGAAACAUAGGGCAGAAAAUUAGGUGACACUUCAAAAACAACAACAGAAAGAACGGAAAGAACCUCCACAGAGACAGAAACAUAGGGCAGAAAAUUAGGUGACAGUUCAAAAACAACCACAGAAAGAACGGAAAGAAUGGAACGAACCUCCACAGAGACAGAAACAUAGGGCAGAAAAUUAGGUGACAGUUCAAAAACAACAACAGAAAGAACGGAAAGAACGGAAAGUACCUCCACAGAGACAGAAACAUAGAGCAGAAAAUUAG